RNAcentral lists this ribosomal RNA (254 nucleotides) under uncultured bacterium. Its description in RNAcentral is "partial 16S ribosomal RNA". It matches the Rfam family "Bacterial small subunit ribosomal RNA", at positions 524 to 776 of the family's 1533-position model. The record is from RNAcentral.
UACGGAGGAUCCAAGCGUUACCCGGAAUUACUGGGCGUAAAGAGUUGCGUAGGCGGCAUGUUAUGUCAGGUGUGAAAUCUUGGGGCUCAACCCCGAGGCUAUGCCUGAAACUGACAAGCUAGAGCAUGAGAGGGGUACCUGGAAUUCCCGGUGUAGGAGUGAAAUCCGUAGAUAUCGGGAGGAACACCAAUGGCGUAGGCAGGGUACUGGCUCAUUGCUGACGCUCAGGCACGAAAGCGUGGGGAGCGAACGGG